UACGUAGGGUGCAAGCGUUGUCCGGAAUUAUUGGGCGUAAAGAGCUCGUAGGCGGCGUGUCGCGUCGACUGUGAAAACCCGCAGCUCAACUGCGGGCUUGCAGCCGAUACGGGCAGGCUAGAGUUCGGUAGGGGAGACUGGAAUUCCUGGUGUAGCGGUGAAAUGCGCAGAUAUCAGGAGGAACGCCGGUGGCGAAGGCGGGUCUCUGGGCCGAUACUGACGCUGAGGAGCGAAAGCGUGGGGAGCGAACAGG
RNAcentral lists this ribosomal RNA (253 nucleotides) under uncultured bacterium. RNAcentral describes it as "partial 16S ribosomal RNA". It matches the Rfam family "Bacterial small subunit ribosomal RNA", at positions 524 to 776 of the family's 1533-position model. The record is from RNAcentral.